RNAcentral lists this ribosomal RNA (253 nucleotides) under uncultured bacterium. RNAcentral's name for it is "partial 16S ribosomal RNA". It matches the Rfam family "Bacterial small subunit ribosomal RNA", at positions 524 to 776 of the family's 1533-position model. The record is from RNAcentral.
UACGAAGGGUGCAAGCGUUAAUCGGAAUUACUGGGCGUAAAGCGUGCGUAGGCGGUGAGUUAAGUCUGUCGUGAAAUCCCCGGGCUCAACCUGGGAAUGGCGAUGGAUACUGGCUCGCUAGAGUGUGAUAGAGGAUGGUGGAAUUCCCGGUGUAGCGGUGAAAUGCGUAGAGAUCGGGAGGAACAUCAGUGGCGAAGGCGGCCAUCUGGAUCAACACUGACGCUGAGGCACGAAAGCCAGGGGAGCAAACGGG